RNAcentral lists this ribosomal RNA (332 nucleotides) under Salmonella enterica subsp. enterica serovar Rubislaw. RNAcentral's name for it is "partial 23S ribosomal RNA". It matches the Rfam family "Bacterial large subunit ribosomal RNA", at positions 1 to 369 of the family's 2925-position model. Lineage: Bacteria; Pseudomonadati; Pseudomonadota; Gammaproteobacteria; Enterobacterales; Enterobacteriaceae. RNAcentral also lists the same sequence under 8 other names. The record is from RNAcentral.
GGUUAAGCGACUAAGCGUACACGGUGGAUGCCCUGGCAGUCAGAGGCGAUGAAGGGCGUGCUAAUCUGCGAUAAGCGCCGGUAAGGUGAUAUGAACCGUUAUAACCGGCGAUACCCGAAUGGGGAAACCCAGUGUGACUCGUCACACUAUCAUUAACUGAAUCCAUAGGUUAAUGAGGCGAACCGGGGGAACUGAAACAUCUAAGUACCCCGAGGAAAAGAAAUCAACCGAGAUUCCCCCAGUAGCGGCGAGCGAACGGGGAGGAGCCCAGAGCCUGAAUCAGCAUGUGUGUUAGUGGAAGCGUCUGGAAAGGCGCGCGAUACAGGGUGACA